UCGAACGGGAUUUCGGGUAGCAAUAUCUGAAUGAGAGUGGCGCACGGGUGCUUAACGCGUAUGCAACCUGCCUUUGUCUGGGGGAUAGCCUUCCGAAAGGAAGAUUAAUACCGCAUAAUGUAUUGAUGUGGCAUCACAUUAAUACCAAAACUCCGGUGGACAAAGAUGGGCAUGCGUCCGAUUAGCUAGUUGGUGAGGUAAUGGCUCACCAAGGCUACGAUCGGUAGGGGGUCUGAGAGGAUGAUCCCCCACACUGGUACUGAGACACGGACCAGACUCCUACGGGAGGCAGCAGUAAGGAAUAUUGGACAAUGGGCGAAAGCCUGAUCCAGCCAUGCCGCGUGCAGGAUGACUGCCCUAUGGGUUGUAAACUGCUUUUGGCGGGGAAAAAACCCUCCUAUGUAUAGGGGGCUGAUGGUACCCGCAGAAUAAGGAUCGGCUAACUCCGUGCCAGCAGCCGCG
Molecule: ribosomal RNA, 462 nt
Filed under: uncultured soil bacterium
Lineage: Bacteria
Description: bacterial SSU rRNA
Rfam family: Bacterial small subunit ribosomal RNA
Source: RNAcentral